RNAcentral lists this ribosomal RNA (840 nucleotides) under uncultured eukaryote. RNAcentral describes it as "SSU rRNA". It matches the Rfam family "Eukaryotic small subunit ribosomal RNA", at positions 635 to 1426 of the family's 1831-position model. The record is from RNAcentral.
CGGUGUUCAACUGGCGUGCCCGCGGGACGUCCUGCCGGUGAGCUCAGCCCGCGAGGGCGGCUCAACUUGAAAUCCCAUCGCGGUGCUCUUCAUUGAGUGUCGAGGUGGGCCGGCACGAUUACUUUUGAACAAAUUAGAGUGCUUAAAGCAGGCUAAAAUUUUGCCUGAAUACUGUGUAUAUGGAAUAAUGGAAUAGGACCUCGGUUCUAUUUUGUUGGUUUUCGGAACCCCGAGGUAAUGAUUAAUAGGAACGGAUGGGGGCAUUCGUAUUGCGACGUUAGAGGUGAAAUUCUUGGAUCGUCGCAAGACGGACUAAAGCGAAAGCAUUUGCCAAAAACGCUUUCAUUGAUCAAGAACGAAAGUUAGAGGUUCGAAGGCGAUCAGAUACCGCCCUAGUUCUAACCAUAAACUAUGCCAGCUAGCGAUCCGCCGACGUCCCUCUGAUGACUCGGCGGGCAGCUUCCGGGAAACCAAAGCUUUUGGGUUCCGGGGGAAGUAUGGUUGCAAAGCUGAAACUUAAAGGAAUUGACGGAAGGGCACCACCAGGGAGUGGAGCCUGCGGCUUAAUUUGACUCAACACGGGAAACCUCACCAGGCCCAGACACUGGAAGGAUUGACAGAUUGAGAGCUCUUUCUUGAUUCAGUGGGUGGUGGUGCAUGGCCGUUCUUAGUCGGUGGAGCGAUUUGUCAGGUUAAUUCCGAUAACGGACGAGACUCUGACCUGAUAACUAGACGCACUUGCGGCAUCUCAAAGGUCCGCCGGCGGCUGGCUUUGCGCCCGUCGUCGCGCGCGAUUUUUACUGCCGGCGUACAAUAAAUUCUUCUUAGAGGGACAAGUGG